AAAUUCGCCUUCAUGAAGCUGGAAUUGCUAGUAAUGGCAGGUCAGCAUACUGCCGUGAAUACGUUCCCGGGCCUUGUACACACCGCCCGUCACACCAUGAGAGUUGGAAAUACCCGAAGCCUGUGAGCUAACUUUUAGAGGCAGCAGUCGAAGGUAGAGCCAAUGAUUGGGGUGAAGUCGUAACAAGGUACC
Molecule: ribosomal RNA, 192 nt
Filed under: uncultured bacterium
Lineage: Bacteria
Description: partial 16S ribosomal RNA
Rfam family: Bacterial small subunit ribosomal RNA
Source: RNAcentral